This 104-nucleotide non-coding RNA is filed under the name unclassified sequences. RNAcentral describes it as "DUF3577 RNA". It matches the Rfam family "DUF3577 RNA". The record is from RNAcentral.
CGAUCGGACAGCGUAGGAAACUACGUCAAACUCGCCUGUAAUCCCGGCAUCACCACGCAAGUGGUGUGGCGACUUUUUCAACUGGCUGCUGCGGCAGCGAUUAU